ACACUCUAGCUUCUAGGGUGACUCGAACCCCCGACCUAUUGGUUGGAGGGGAAGCGUCUUACCAACAGACUGCGCUUCAUCGUCGUUCAAGAAAGAAACACUAAAUAAAAGAAGAAUGGAGAACCAUUUUCAGUCAUUCGAUCAUCAAGAUCUACGGUGGAUGCAUCAUCUUGUUGGAUGAAUAUAGAUCCUGGGUUCGAAUCCUGAAGGGAACAAUUAUUUUUAUUUUUUUGAGUGCAUUAAUUUUAACAGCGAAUGCAUUAAUUUUUACAGUGGAUGCAUUAGAUUUAAUGGUUCUCACAUUCUCACAAAUAAUGUAGUUCUCUCUAGAACCACACGUUAUAUAUAUAUAUAUAUAUAUAUAGGGGGCGCGCUCCAGUGAGACCCCUAUAUUUUCGUGUAACAUGAGUACAAUGAAUAAGACAUAUAAUACUAAUGAACAAAACGUAUAUCUAAUGAACAAGAUGUAUAUACUUAUAGAAAAAUAAAUUAAAAAUUCGUAAUGAAUAAGACAUGUAUACUAAUGAACAGGGCCGUAUAUACUGAUGAACAAUGCAGUAUAUACUGAUGAAUAACAAAAUUUAAAAUAUUAUGCUCCCCUAUCAAAAUGCAUGUUUAUCACAUAUCAGCCAUAAGAUUCAUAAAAUAAACACACCAGAUCGUGCCCUAAAUCUCACUAAAAUUAGGAGGUUUCAUUAGAGCGGCCCCCUAUAUAUAUAUAUAUGCAUAUCAAAUUAAAGAUCACAAUAAGAGCUUUAAUUUGAUUAUAUUUUAUGUAAAUAUUUGAUUUGAAAUAUAAAAGUUAUAUUUAUUUAAAGAUAGAAUUUUUAAAAAUUUGUUUCUUCUCUCUCUCUUUUUUUAGUACCGUAACUUUGGUCAUUUUACAAAUGUAGGACAAAAAUUUUUGGGCUUGCAAUUAUAGGACAAAUUGAUUUUUCGGGCUCAAUUUGUCCUACUUAUGCUCAAUUUUUGAAAAUUUGUCCUACAAUUGUAAGGCCAAAAAAAUUUGUCGGACAUUUGCAAAAAAGUCAAAGUUAUGGGCCUAAAAAAACUUUGGGCUCCAUUUUGUUUUCAAGUUUUCGGCGUGCUGUCAACUUUCUUAAUUAACCCAGCCAGCAUAUUCAAAAUGAACUUCUUCACAUUAACCAUAUUAAAAUUUUCCAGUUAUAUAUGCCGUCAAAUUUACAAUUUUUAGGUAUAAAAUUAAUAUAAAUACGCAUGAGAGACGUUUAUGAUAAUGAAAUGCAUUACAAUUUACAACUUCAAACUCCCAAACUAAAACGUGAAAGUGAUAUAAAUUUGAAAUCUAAAAUCAAAAUUUUACUUUAAUCAUCUCUAAUCAUCUUGAUGAACUCAAAUUCUCACUUUGUGAUCAUAAUUCAUAAUCAGGUAUCAUUUGUGGAACUACUUGAGGAGUUGAGGAUAUAAUAAUGAGUCAGCAUGGCGCGUGUGAUACUUAAUUAAGGUGACCUAAUGGUAAAUGCUGUCAAAGCACAAACGUACACAUGAGUGUUGAGUUUGAGUAGUAACUAAGAAGAAUUUACAUUUGCAUAAAAAGAAAGUUAAAAGUACGUAAUAACUACUCAUUUACUCAUUAAUAUUACAAUAAUAUAUUAAAAUUAGUUAAUAUUAUUAAAAUACUAUUUGGUACACGAUUUAUACAAACAUAUAAAAUAAUGUAUUUUUAUACAUAUAAAAAUUUGUUUGUGUAAUCGUGUAGCAAUUCAAAAUGAAUGAUGGCAACAACAACGACGACACUUGUCUGUAUAUAACAACAACGCACGAGGAACGAGGGAUUUGCGGCGGCAAUGGUGGAGGAGAGAUUCGCGAGGGGGCACGAGGAAGGAGGAGUAACGACAAGAUAGACUUGGCGAGAGAGAGAGAUGGUGGUUGGGCAUGCGUGGGGAUGGGUAGAGUUAGUUUUAAAAUUUGAUUUAUUGUCCUAUGAAUACACCAAUUAUUAGUUACAAUAGUUUUACCAUGUUUUACAAUUCGGUAAAAUGAAAUUUGAUUUGGCAAUUUAGGAACAUUAAUUGAGUGAAGUGGAAUCUAUAUAGAAGUUAAAUAGAGAAGUUGCAGAUAAUUAUUCACACAUAAAUACACGAUGUAAUUGGUUCAUAAAGUAUUUUUUGUUUAUAAACUUCAUAUUCUGAACUUGUAAUUUUUUAUUGUUAUAAUGCUCAUCUCAGUUUCUUAAAGAGUUAAACCUGUAAGAUUUUGUUAGUUCUCUGAAGAAAAGUUGGAUGUUGAAAUACCAUUUGUUUUGUCAUUUUUAAUUAGGAUUAAAUUUUAUAUGCACACAAUUUUAUUUAAAAGAUUAUUUUCAUAAUUAGUCAUCACUUCAAAUUUUUUGAUGAUCUCUACUCUUAUAUCACAAACGCAUCACUAUAAUUCACUAAAGAAAACGGAUCAACAUAGUCCUAUGUGUUUCCAUUAAAUUAAAAGUGAAAAAUAAAAAAACAGAAGAGAAAGAAACACAGUUUAUUUGUUGAGUGAGGUUGAGGCAUGUGCUCCCUACUAACGGUAAUUGUCCACAGCCGCAUGUGCCACUCGACACGGCCUACGCCAAGAGGCGUACGCGCGCAGUCAGCAUAGUAGAGCUCAACCUCUAGCUAAUUAAAGCGUAGCGAUUCGUCCACGUGUCGCUUCACCAGUAACUCCCACAUGACCGACUGCUUCUUAACAUGUGCCGCCGCGCAGCACGACAACAUUGUUUAUGCCCUCGAUUAAUUAAUCUAUUCGCACUUCCGGUUUAAUUACGUUGUAAUUGUAGGCGUAUUACUAUUUUCUUAAUUAUUGGAUUACGACGGGCUUUGCUAAUUAUGUAGCUUCCCUCUCUUUGCUAAUAAAGCGAACUUUGAGAUAAUGUAUUUUAAAGGAAUUUGGAGCAACAGUUUGUUUACCUGAAAAGUUUCUUUAAUGGAGUAUGUUUUUCCAAAAAGUUUCUUUAUCAGUAUAAUUUACGACUUCUUCAACCUCCACCCCAAAUGGAAAAGAAAAAAUAAGACUUUUAUUUUCUUUAAUACUCCCUCCGUCCCCAAAAUAAGUUCCUCUUUGGGGACGACACAAGUUUUAAGGAAAAAUAGUAAAGUGUAUUGAUAGUGGAGAAAAAUAUGUUAUAAUUAGUAUUGGGAGUGGUGAAAAAGUGUUAUAAUUACUAUUGAGAGUGGUGAAAAAGUGAAAAGUAAGAAUAAAUAAAGUAUUAUUAGUGGUGGGGUAGUUGUCCAAAAAUGGAAAGAAAGAAAGAGAAACUCAUUUAGGCGACGUCCCAAAAAAAAAUGAACUUAUUUCAGGGACGGAGGGAGUAUAAAUUUUGUGAUUUUUUCUAUCUAAUUGAUUACUCCCUCCGUCCUCAUAAAAAGUAUUCAAUUUGUCAUUUUCGUCCGUCUUUAUAAAAUAUAUUCAGUCUAUUUUUGGUAAGCUUUUCACUCACAAUAUAGUGGGGCCCUUACUCCACUCACAACACAUUCAACUAUUUUAUUAAAAUCUGUGCCAUUUAGAAAUGAAUACUUUUUAUAAGGACGAAUAGAGUAUUUCGUAAUUAAACUAUACUUUAAGCCUUUUAUUUUUUUAUUUGGACUCCUAAGCUGUGCCAAAAAAAAAAAACAUUUCAAGUUAAAGCCACGUAAACAAUUAUGGCUCAAAGUUCAUCAUUACUAAAAAAAAUGUUCAUCAUGUACAAAAUAAAAAAAAAAUUGAAAAUUUAAUGGAUUGGUUCGAUUAACAUCCCUAACAACCUGCUCUUUCUUCCCCCAUCCCACGGUCCCACCAAAAAUACAAAACAAUGAAAGUGAAUAUUUGAGGCUUUUGUGUGAAAAAGAUAGAUAAUAAGUCAAAACACGGUUCUGCUAAUAUGAUAGUGCAUUAAAAAAGCGCAUGAUUAGGUCGACCGGUAAAGUCGUUACUCGUUAGCUGCUUUAAGGAGGGGAAAAGGGCUAAGCGGUCUCCGCUUUUAUCGACCGUUGCUUCGGUGCAAUAAAAAAGAUCAUUCAUAAAGAAAUAUUACUACAAUUUAACAUAUUCCAAAUGGGAUAAAAUUAGGCUACGCCCCUAUACUAUAAACCCUACAUAAUGUGGAUUAAGAUGCAUUAUUAAUUUAUUAUACUGUAGGUGGUUGUGGUUUCUCCAAUCUAACGCUGCAGAAUCUUAGGUAGUUUGUUUAUUUGUUACAUAUAUUUGUUUAUUUUUGCUUGCGAUAGAGUAAGAUACACUUAUCUUGGGUCAAUUUGUAAUGCAUGUUACUAGGCAAGUGAUAUAUGUUAACGUUUUUAAUUUAGGGACUGUAAAAUCUUGUAGGUCUCUGAAUUUAUUUUCUAGAUUGAUUGGCAUAGAUAGCUAUAUAUGCAUUUUUUCCUGCUUGAAAUGUGAUUAUGUGCCGAUAUGUGAGAAUCGAUGCUAGAAAUCUUUCUUAGUCAAGAUUGUGUCCUAAUAUAUGUAUUUUACUUGGAUUGAGAAAGUAUAGAAGUCUACUAGCCAUGGAUUUCGUGUAACCUAUUGAAUUUUACGGCCUAAUUUUAUCCUCACGGUCACACUUAUAGAGAUUAUACAAGAAAUUUAUUUAUCUUUGGCUCUGUCUUCGCAUAGGAAAAAAUGAGAACACAAUCAUAUAAGCAUCUUUGCUUAUUAAAUCAAUAAAACUUAGUAUCGCCAUAUUGCUACCACCCUCAUGAGCUUGGCAUUAAAAAUAGAGUGAUGUUAAAUAGCCACAAUGUGACCACCAUGCACAAAUUACUUAAAUAGAGAAAAAUUUAAUUUAUUUAAUUUAUCUUUUAAAUAAAAAAUGAUUUAAUUAUUAUACUGUACUGUAUUGUUUUUNUUUUUUUGAUCAAGUAAGAAAUCAAUUAUGAAACGGUACCAGGGGUACCAGCAAAAGUUUUACAAAAGAUUGGUGACCAAAUUAUCAGUACACCAAUCAGAAAAAUUCAGGUUUUUCGGAAUAAUCUCGAAGAUUUUGUUCCAACUCCAAGUCCUAACCUUAAUAUCCGACAAGACGAUUUUACAAUCCCAGCCACCGUCUUCAAAUCUGCAUUCGUUUCUGCGUCUCCACAGCAUCCAAAUGGAGCACACCCAUACCGUCAUAAGAAACUUCCUGUUCUUCAUUCCGCUUUCCAGGUCAGCGAAUGUCUCGAAGUGUCUUCUUGCCGUAUUGAGUCUAACUGUGGUGAAUCCCAGCCAUUUCUGAAUCUCGUCCCAAAGCUCCGCGGUUUUCGAACAAAGGAGGAACAGAUGGUCAGUCGUCUCCCUUUGGCUUUUGCAGAAUUUACAUCUAACCUCUUCGUCGCCAAGCGUCACCUUCCUCUUUUCAAGAUUAUCGCAGGUGGCGAGUCUAUUUUUGAGAAGUCUCCAGGCCGUGAUGAUUGCUUUCUGAGGUGCCGGUGUUUUCCAAACUCUCGAAAUCAUCUCCGAUGGACAAUGUAACGCCGCUGUGUCACAACCUUUCGCGAAAAUGAUCGAGUAGGCUGAUUUUGUGGUGUAGCACCCUGCCGGAGAUGCUAUCCAUGUCCAUGCAUCUUCUUCACCUGCAAUCACAGCACAAUCAGAGAUAAAGGACAAAAGUUGUUGCACCAUCCCACUCUCUCUCUCCCGAAGCUCCCUUCUCCACGUCAAGGCCCACACCCACUGUCCGUCUUCCCACUUCCCCGACUCUCCAAUAAGAAUUUCCUUGUUGGAACAAAGGUGAAAUAAUCUAGGAAAGACGAGUUUCAAAGGUUUUUCCCCCACCCACUUCUGUGUCCAGAAUCUCGUAUUCAGUCCAUUCCCGAUUUUCCUCCUAACAUUCUCCAAAAACCAUCCUCUCGCUGAACUCCCUCCAGAGGCAAUAACUUUUGCCCACCAGCCCGUUCUGCUUCUACUUUGCCUCGACAACCGAAGACCCUCAUCCCCCCAUUCUAACUCUCCAUAAAUGGACCUCACAAUUCUAGUCCAAAAUAAACCUUUUCCCUCCAAAUAUCUCCACAACCAUUUUCCCACCAAGGCCUGAUUGAAGAAAACAAAAUUCCUAAAGCCAAGACCCCCCUCUUUUUUAGGAAGACAUAAUUCUUGCCAUUUAAUCCACGCAAUCGACCCCGAAGACCCAUUCCCUCCCCACAAAAAUCUACAGCAUAAGGAUGUUAAGGAUCUAGCAGUAGCUUUAGGAAUAAUGGAGAAGGAGAGUUGAUAGGUAGGAAUCGCUUGCAAAACCGCCUUAACCAAAGUAGCACGCCCAGCCAACGAGAGUUUCCUGUUUUUCCAGUCAGAAAAUUUCUUUUUGAUUUUUUCGAUGAGGUAGUUCCAAUCAAUCACACUUUUACUCCUUCCCCCAAUCUUGACACCAAGAUACUUGAAAGGGAUGGAUCCAACACUGCAUUGCAGCUCAUUUGCCAUCUCUGAAGUUUGCAUUCGUCAAUUCCGACCCCCAUUAAGCUGCUUUUGCUGAAGUUGACUUUGAGACCUGAACACAAUUCGAACAAGGACAGAAUGUUCUUAACUCACCAGCAUUCUUGUCAUUGUCGGCCAGAAUGAAGAUGGUGUCAUCUGCAUAUUGGAGGUGUGUGAUCUUGAUCUUAUCCUUCCCAAUUUCCGCUGGUUGAAUGAGAUCCUUGAUCAAGGCUCUGUUAAUCAAAGCUUGCAAGCUUUCUGCUGUAAUGAGGAAGAGAAACGGAGAAAGAGGGUCUCCUUGUCGGAGCCCUCUUUCCAAAUAGAAAUCGCCCGAAGGAGAGCCGUUGAUCAAGGUGUUUUGGCGGGUCGAUUAGUGGCAGCCUUGAGUCCAUCUUGUAAAAGGAUCGAAGUUAAAGCGCUCCAGCAUAUAGAAUAUGACUUUAAUAUGUGGAAAAAAAUUUAAGAGCAAGUAGGGCUUUAAAUUGUGAACGGAGGGAGUAUUUAAAAAUAAAUUAACUAUUUUUUUUCUAUUUAGCUAGUUCAUCGACAACCAUAAUGUGACUGCAUAGAUUUGUUAUUAAAAAUAGUAUCAAGUCUCUACCAAACAACAACAUAUAAACUAUUAGGCACAUAUUAUGUCCUCAAUAUUCAUAUUUUAUAAAGGAUGAAUAUUGCAUUUUAACAUAUUUUAUGAGGAAUAAAUGUAUAAGGCGAUUUAGAUACCUAGGAGGAAAUGUGGAAUAAUAGGUGAUGUGGGAAUGCAUGUGUGUAUAUACACAUUCGUGCUGCCCCAACAGUUGGAUGCAGAGAGAGAAAGCCGCUAGGUACAUUGUACAUGAGCCCAUGCAUUAUAUUUUAAACCUAGCUUUUCUCAUCUUUGGACUUUUCCAAAUUUAUAUAUGUAGUGACGGAGGAGGCAUCGGGCCCCAUUUGAGAUUUAAAAAACAUUACAAGUAGAUUAUGUAUUUAAUAUCUUACAAAGUAAUUAUAAAUCUAAUAAAUUUUUCGUUAGUGCUAGUAAAUUUAAUUUAAAAAUUUAUAUCUUUAUAUUAAUUGAAAAUUUACAACAUCAAAAUUAUUACUCCUUCCGUCCCAUGAAGCUUGAGCAAUUUCUUUUCAACACGUGUUUUAAGGAGUUACUAGUAUUUUAUGUAUUAAGUGUGGUAGGUGAAAAAGUGAAAAUGUGAAUAAAGGGAAAAACUUUUGCCAUAUAAUUUAAAAUGCUCAAGCUUCGCGGGACAAACCCGAAAAUGAAUAUUGUUCAAGUUUCGCGAGACGGAGGGAAUAUUUGUUAUUGAAUUAAAUUAAUUUUAUUUGGCUAGAUCUAUACUUUUAUUUAUUAUAAUUGUAUUAAAUUAUUCCCAUCUCAUGUUUACAUAUAAAUCCACCUUCCCAAACUUCAAUGGUUGAGAAGUGGGAUAUAUAGUUUUUUCGGAAAAUUAUUUACAAUUAAAAUUCUUAAUUAGUAGUAUUGUAGGGGUAGUUGUGAAAUUUCAAAUUUGAGUGAAAAAAGAUUAAUAGCCGUAUUUAUAAAAUAUGUGUAUUUGGUUAUUCCAUUAUUCAUAAGGCUCACGUUACGUAUCACAUUGUCUUGUAAUUAGAGGAUUUUUUUUAAAGCGGGACGAUAAAAUCUAAAGGAAACGGCUUGCCGGGGAUAAAGUAUUAAAUAAAUAAUGCAUUAAUAAAUGAAUAUAUACAUAGGGGAUGUUUGAUAUGGGUUUAAAAGCAGGAUAAGUUAAAUUAAUAUGAAUUUAUGUAGUGUUUGAUAUUAUGUGUUACUAAUAUGGUUAACUCCAGGUUUAUCCCAAGACUCUGGAUACUUUGUGGGAUUAACCCACACUAAUUAUCCCACCUCCCCCAUGGGAUUGACCCACACUAAUUAUUUCACCCCCUUCAUAGGCUACUAAUUUAGGUAUUUGAUAUGUUAAUCCAACAUAUUUCAAUGGAUAUCAAACAUUUUUUGGGAUUAAUUACCAAUGAUAUCAAACACUCAUCUGAGAUUAGAAAUCAUGACUAAUCUACACUAAAUUAUCAGGAUAAUUUAUAUCCUGAUUAAUCUAAUACUGUAAAUCAAACGGAUCUAAUAUAGCUUUUUUAAGUAUAAGUUUAUUCAUUGGAAUACGCGCGUCAUCCAUGUUCACUGUCUUUGUCGGACUUGAGUUAUUUUUCUUCUCAAUUUUUGGAUACAUAUAAGCCUAAUUAAACAUUAGAUUAUAACGAAUCUCCUUUAGGAUUAUAAUAGUUCAUCAAACAUAUUCCUUCAACAUGAAACCCAACACGUGUCAAUACAAGAAUAUAUAUCGAUUCUAUUUUUUUGAUAUAAUUUCACUGAAUAAUUUAGUAAACAUAUUUGAAAUUAUUUUAUGAAAGAAGCCAAAAACAAAAAUAAAAGGAAUAAUAUGGAAAUUUAUUGCAUCACUGAACAAGGGUGAAGAAGAGAUUUUUCUUUAUAAGUAAUUAGCUUAUAUCUAAACUCUACUUUUCUGAGAUUUGGAUGAGACUUUACGUACUUAGGUCAAUGCUUCUUUUUAAUUACAAUCAUCGCCGUAAAAAUGCUGCAUAAACAACAAAAACAGAGGUUAUACAACUCACAUCUUACAAGCUUAGAAGUUUCUUUAUCUGCGUUAAAAUCAAAAUUACAAUUCUCGCUGUAAAACCGUGUUAUCGGACUUUAAUUCCAAUGGGCGGAUAAACAAAUUUAAUAGUCGAACUUACCAAAUUAUAAAAGAUGAUUUUUUUCUUAAUUAAUUACAUAUUGAUUAAAAGAAUUGAAAUGUACUAGGAACUUACCAAAUUAAUAAUCGUAGUUAUAUAAAAUGUCGCUAUUGUGUAUUCAAUGACGCGAACAAGAGCAAGAGAUCGCUGCCAAAAACAUCCGCAUUAAUAAAAGUCGUAUAUCACUACUAUACUCAGCAACAAGGAGAGUCGGCCGAUUAAAUGUAUGUGCAUUGGCGUAGCGGUAGAGUGAUUAAUAUUUGAGAUUAAAGUUGUAAAUUUAUCAUAGAAAAAUGAAGAAUAAGAAAAAGUGGAAAAAAUUUAUCACACCAUUUAUUUUUCAUUGCAGAUUCGCAUGUUCUUAGGAAGAAAGUCAUGAAAAAAAUACUAUCAUACCACUAUUUUAUGAUAAUAUGUAGGGUUAAUUGCAUCAAAAUACCUGACCUUUUUCCAAAAUUUGGUUUUUUGACAAUCUUUUUAAUUGUAGCAAAAAUUUUAACGAGCUUUCAAUUUAUUGCAAUGUCCGUCCGGGGAAAAUUUCCGGCCAAAUUAAAUAUGAGUUGGCAGUCGGAAUGCCCACGUGGCAUCGGAAAUGCCAAAUCACACCCCCCUCCCCCUCCCACGUCACCCCCACGUCGCUCUCUCUCUCUCUCUUCCCCCUUCUCCUCCCACGUCACCCUCCCCCUCUUCCCCCUGCGCAGACCCCUCCUCCUCCCCCACCCCGGCGCCGCCGCAUCUUUUCCAGCCGGCGAACCCUUCCCCCUCCCCCAUCGCCACUUCCUCCAGCCGGCGAACAAGCGAGAAAGAUCUCGAAAAGGGCAUCAAAGCAGAGCACUAAUGAACACAAAAAAAUAAACACAUUUCAAAUUUAUUUGAAACUCAGAUCUGCAAAUUGCUGCAAAUUGAUUCCCCAACAAAUCCUCCAUCCUCUACAAAUCCUCGCUGCUACAAAUCUUCGAAGAGGGAGAAUGACGUGGGUUUCAACCACCGCCGAGCCUAUCGCCGUCGCCGCUACAAAUCUUCGAAGAGAGAGAAGGCGGAUUGGCGGGCGCCGCUGCUGGAUCUCUGGAUCUCGGCGCGGUACCGCUUGUGGAGCUUCUCCAUCUUGUGGCGGCACUGGACGGAGGUCUUGGGCGGGGCACCGCGACGCCACGUCGUCGGCGACCUCCUGCCAGUGGUUGCCGCGGCGAAGGGAGUACCACUUGUCCUUGUAGGCGUCGAUGAGGGCGACGGUCUCCUCGGGGCUCCAGCACGGCGGGGGGAGGCUAGCGUGGCGGUGGGGAUGUCGUCGGGGGAGGAUGGGGAGAUGAUCGUAGCCAUGGUGGGGGAUGAGAUCCGGGGGAAUUAAGGGGGAACUGGGAAGGGGGAUGGAGAAGAGAGAGAGAGAGAAGGUGACGUGGGAGGAGGAGGGGGAAGAGAGAGAGAGAGAGAGCGACGUGGGGGUGGACGGUGGGGAGGGGGGNGUCGUAUAUCACUACUAUACUCAGCAACAAGGAGAGUUCUGCCCAUUAAUGUAUGUGCGUUGGCGUAGCGGUAGAGUGAUUAAUAUUUGAGAUUAAAGUUGUAAAUUUAUCAUAGGAAAAUGAAGAAUAAGAAAAAGUGGAAAAAAUUUAUCACGCCAUUUAUUUUUCAUUGCAGAUUCGCAUGUUCUUAGGAAGAAAGUCAUGAAAAAAAUAUUAUCAUAUAUACCACUAUUUUAUGAUAAUAUAUAUUUUCAUGAAAUAUGAGUGAACCGAGGGCCGAAAAAUGAGCUAUACAUCCGAAUUCUUUUUCCAUGGAGGAAAAUGAUCUAUUAUACAAAAUAUGUGAAAAAAGUUGCAAACUGGGUGAAAGUAUACAUUUUCCACAUGUUUUUUAAAAAAGAAAAAAGAUGAGAGUUCACAAAAGAUAAGUCUGAAGUUAUUUAUACUGUCAACGAGUAAUACAAAAAUAAAUAAGAAGAAUUUACUCCCUCCGUCCCACUGUAAGUGAGACCUUUUUUUUGGGCACGGGAAUUAAGAAAUGUGUAUUUUGUAUGUAAGUGAAAAAGUGAAAAAGUGUUUAAAGGGAAAAACUUUUACGUAAAAAGGAAAGAGUCUCACUUACAAUGGGACGCCCAAAAUAGAAAGAGUCUCAGAUACAGUGGGACGGAGGGAGUACAUGAUAUACUAAUUCUAAAAGCUAUGGAAACAACAAAGCAAUAUAUACUUAAUUUUAUUUUUAAGUGAAAUCUAAUAUAUCGAUUUACUAACAAAAAUCUGACCCAAAAAUAUACUUGCACGGUCGGAAAUAUAUGGAUUUGCCACUAGUAGGCAAAUGGGCAAAUGAAUUUUUCCACUCGUGGGCAUUUUAUAGUUAACUUCAUUGAAUUAAAUAAUUUGUUGAAAAAGUAUAAAAUAUAGUAUAAGGAAAAUUUAAGAAUGUGUUUGUAAUUGGGAUAUUAGGAAUAAUUUAAUCAAAUUGUACGUAUAAUGCAUGUUUUUAUAAAAAUAAGUAUUUUUCAUAUACAUUUAACGAAACUGUGCAUUUUAUUUUUUCACCCUAAUUUUUGCACUUAUUUAACAAUAUAUACGAGUGACAUGACACAAAAUAAAAGAGAGAUUCCAAAGUAAUGCAGGUCUUGAAAAUGCCGUCAAUGAUGAAACCCUAAUUUUAACCACCGGAAAAGAGAGGGAAAAACGAACAGUAAAAAGUUCAAAAGAAAGGCUAAAGUUGAAUUAAGAAACAGUAAAACAUAUAAAAAGAAGCUCAAUGAUACUUAACCUUUCUUAACUAACAAAACCGCGUACUCAACAACUUGCUUUUACAUUCACCAUUGAGAGGCUCCAAAAAAAGAAAAGCUAUUUGUCAAGGGUGAAUUAUUAAAGCAUAUAUCUAGAUCAAUUUAGCCAUGGACACUAUAUAAAAUAAUAUGAAUACUCAUUAACCAUAUUUUAAUUUCCUAAAUUUUUUUCUCAAAGUAGUAAAUUUUUAUAUUGCUAAAAAGAACCCUUAAUUCUUUUAAUUUCCUCCAAAAGUCCUGAUGAUCACAAGGCUACCUGCACCACUUAUUUUAAGAGAAUAUAUUAUUUGAACUUCCUAUCAAAAUAGGCACAUUAUUUAAUAAUGGAAGGGGUAUGUUUUUAAAUGUAAAUAAGGUAAGAGAAGACUUUUUUUUCUUUUGGAAGGUCUUGUGGAUUCCAUAUAUAAUACUCAAUUUCCUUUUUUUUGUAUUCUGUUUCACAAUUAUGAUUUUGAAUGUGAAUUGAAUAGGCUGUUUUUAUUCAGUAAGGUCGCUUGCUGAUUUCUUGUCUUUUAUUGACCUUGUCACUCUAUAUAACCAUCAAAUUCUUGUCUCUCAUCAAAACUCCCUCUCCUCCAAAACAUUGUUUUCUUCUGCAACAUUUCACUUCUCAAAACAUAUAAAAAGUUUAAGAUACUUUUAGAGAGAGAGAGAGAGAGAGAAUGGGAGAGAUGGCUUCUCUUUGGUGUUAUGCAGAGGUAUGGCUACCUAUUUCACUUAGUUAAUUUCUUCAUUUUCUAUAUCAAUAUUUUCUUCCAAAAAUUGUUGAUGAUCAAGUACAUUGAUUCACCAUGUUAAAACUUGAAAAAAAGUAAAUGUCUCAAGUUUGAAGAAGAGUUUAAGUACUCAAUGAUUAUAUAGUUUGAGAAAUCAUCAAUUUACAAUCAUUUUGCAGUUUAAAUAUAUGAAGUAAAAUCAGUAGUCUUUUAUUCUGAUGCAAUGAAAUGAAUAGGCUUCUUCUCCGACAAUCAUUUUUUUUUUUUUUAUUUUCUGACGUUUUGAAGAAAUUAAUGAUACAGCAUGGUGAAAUUGAUCAACUGGGGCAGAAGCUUCUGUACACGAGUCUGGAACUGGAGAAGCUGAAAUCCGAAGCCAUGGAAGAAAUGCGGAAGAACAAAGAAUACGUGAAUCAACUCAUCCAGCUCCUCAAAUGCGCCAUCGAAGAGCGAGACGAAGCAAGGAAGCAGCUCGACAAACUCAUCGGCGCCGGCGCCGACAUCUUCCCCUAUUUCCAAGGCGGCGGCGGAGACAGCCCUCUGCUCAAGCCGGCGAAGGCCAAUUCGAGCAUAACCGAAUCCAACAGCCUCUCCGACACGCACAACUACCACUCCCCCUUCGACGCCGCCGCCGUCUCCUCGCCGCCGAUCAGCUUUGUCCAGCAGGACUCCGCCGUCGAUCGGGCCUCGUUGGUGGUCGAUAACCUCUCCAAGGGGAGGCUUCUGCCGCCCAAGGGGAUGCUUCUGCAGGCGGUCCUUCAAGCGGGGCCGCUGCUGCAGACGCUGAUGGUGGCGGGCCCGCUGCCGCGGUGGCGGAACCCGCCGCAGAUGCACCCGUUUCAGAUACCGCCGGUCGGCAUCAAAGGCGGCGGGGCGGAGUUCGCUUCCCAGCAGAGUAGUUCGAUUUUGUCGGAUUUUGGUGAUUUGAAUUAUGGGAAUAAUAAUAAUGCUUCUUUGAUAUCGCCUGCGGCGGUUAGUAGUAAUGGCGGCGGCUGCUUCCGGUUGGCCAAACGCCAGAGGUUCUGUUGAAGUUAUACUCAUUAAUUAAUUAAUUAUAUAUAUAUAGUUAGACCGAACAAUUUUUUGUAUAAUUAGGAGAUGGAGGAGUACUGCUGUAAAUGGAUUAUUACUUUAUUUCAUUUUAUUGCUUUUCUUCAAAUAUGUAGUAUAUUUUUGGUGUUUUAUUUCACUCGUAAUGCAAUUAGAUAUCCGGAUUUGAGUAUUUUGUAAUGAAUCUUGAUCCCGUCUGAUUUAGUUAUUGUGGUCCUCUAAUUAUAUAUACAAGGAUCAAAACUACCUAGGGAUUGGACUUCAAAUAAAGUAAGCCAGAUCAUGGCUAUAUUUUGGACUUUAAACUAUAAAAGUAACUAAAAUUAAUAAUUCUUCUAAUUUUCUUUUGACGAGAAAUACUUCUCAUAAUAAAUUACAUAUUCGACACAAAAGAUUCCAAAUGCUCUAGUGAUUUUGUGUUAAUCAUAGGUAAAGGAAUUAACAAUCUUUUACGAAUCCACAAAACAAAUAUGCGUAGCUUGGUCUAUAAUGAAACCAUAGUUCAUUACUAAUUAAAACAAAGCGGACGAAAGAAUCGAGAAUCGAGUGGCUAAGAAAUUUCUCAGAAGACAUCCCUCGUUGGGAAAAACCUAUGCUUCAUGUUAUGAUAUGUUGUGACACUAUAUAUAGUGCAUAAAAUAGUAUGUGUAAUGGUAAGUUUUGACACAUUCAUUGAACAUACAAUAUCGUUUGAUGAUUGAUCACAGCUAAUGUGUAAUGAUUAUGUAUAGUUAAAAGAUAACAUAUAAAAUCUGUUUACUAAAGGAAUUAAUCGUGAUCAAUCAUACAAUGCAGUUAGGAGAACAAAAUUAAAGUUCACAAUUAAAGAACAUUUUUAUAGUGGUAAUUCAACUAUGAAGAUCCGAAAACUUGAUUCAAUAAGACAAUUAAAUUAUGAAUGUUCAGUUGUGCACUUGAAAGCACAACUUUAAAAUUCAUUGUCGAACUACCCAAAUGGAAAGAGGGCUGUAGUUAAUUAAUUUCAUUUUCACGCAAUUUUUCCACACAAAUAACAUAAACUAUAGUUGAACAAGACAAAAUAAAAUAGAACUUCCAUGUUCCAUAUAGAUUUAAUACGACGUGGUUUCAUGCUUUAUUGUUAAUCAAAUAAUAAGAAAUAUAUAAAAAUUAAUAACGUCUUUGGAUAACUUAAGUGGGAAUUAAUGAGUGAGGGGAGAGGUCCAAGUAUAAGCGCCCUAGUCGGCCUUUAAAUGCUGAUGGGCCAUUAUAUUAUAGCAAGUUGGGCUGAAAGGUCCAAUUAUAUUCAACUUAUAUAGAAAAUUAUGACCCGAGUUGAAAAAUUAACAUGAUUUUUGAAAGAUGCAAUAUGAGACGGACCAAAAUGUUCGGCCUAGAAUGAUGAGUUGGGUUGCUGGAAAAUUUGUAGCAUUCCAAACUUACAAUUUUUUUUACAAAAUUGUGAUGGCCCGUUUCUGUUGAAAUGGUCCAUCCCAUCUCUUCGAAGCUCAAAAUUGUUUUGCGUCACAUUUACAAUUUUUUAAAAAGGUGAUCGCUAUUUUUGCAUAUUUUAAAUGUUUAAAAUUCGACUCAAUCAGUCAUAAAAGGUAAUUAGAUCUUAUGUGAAUUAGAAGUAAAUGAACAUAAUUUAUUCAUAUAUAUAUAUAUAUAUAUAUAUAAUACUCCCUCCGUCCACUAAUUCAUGACCUAAGUAGCAAAACACGGGUUUUAAGAAAAAAUGUAUUUUUAUUAGUUGAGUGGAGAAAGGGACUCACAAUUAAUGUAUUGUUUAUUAGUUGACUGGAGAAAAAGUGUAUUGUUUUGGGACCCACCAAUUAAAUAUAAAUAAAAACUUACUAAAAAUGGAUAGGUCUUGAGUUGGUGGACGUCCCAAAAAGGAAAGAAGGCCUUGAAUUAGUGGACAGAGGGAGUAUUGUAGGUUUCGAAGAAAGCAAAAUUUUUAUUUCGCAAAAAAAGAAAAAGUUACGAUAGAAGAAGUUGCACCAAUAAUAAGGUCUAUUAUGAAAGCCAGUCGUCAAGGCAAGGAAUAUAUCUGCAGAAGUUGAUGAAGCAAUAACGUGAUGCAGCUUUCACUUCGAAGCAAAGCAAUAUUCUAGUACUUCCCCGAUUCUAAAAAAAGAAUUUUAUAAGAAAAUAACACGAGUUUUAAUAAAAAAUUUGUUAAAUUUAUAAGUGAAGAAAAGAUCUCAUCUUAGGGGGAAAAAAAAAGAUCUCGUCUUAGGGAUAGUGAUUUGGUGAAUAAAAAUGAUAGGUCAUAUAUGAUAGAUUAUGUAAAUAAAUUAAUAUUUUAAAAAUAAAAUAUUGUAGUGUAGUGUUUAUAAAUGAGAUGAUACUAUUUGUCGUAUUCGUGAACAUUAAAAAAUGAAAAACUGAGACGAUUUGUUCUGGGAUAAAAAGAGUAAUAAAUUAUGUAGUCGAGAUAUAAUAACACGAGCUUUAAAAGCGUCACAUGCUAAGCAAAUUAAAAUCCUCUAAUUAUUUUAAAGUUUCAAUUUAUUCUUUUUGGUGAGGUGUGUUAGAAAAGGAUGAAGGAAUUCAAAUUUUGGUGGAUUAUGUGUACAUGGACAAAUUGUAGGCUAACACGAUCAGCCGACCAAAUAUAUACGCAGCUGUUUCAUACACGUUUAAAACUUUCUCAAAAGUAGGACGUGGGCGGGACCCACUUGCUGCGCAGGUGCUCAUCUAGUUCUCAUCUUUAAUCAAAUGUAAGGAAACAAACAAAUUUUGAUGGAAACGUGUAGAUUUAAAAUUGUAUGAAUCUGCAUAGUUUAGAUACGAAAAUUUAUGAAACGAAAAUAUUUCAGAUAACGUAAUUUAUGGAACAAAAAAAAGGUAGAACCUUUUCGGAAUUAUAAAUUUGAUAUACAUUUUAACUAAUUGCUGAUUAAAUCUCAGUUUUUCGACUUUUUUUGUAAAUAAGUUUUGAAACUUUUCAAAUAUGUGUAAAUAGUUCGAUUUUUAGUAAAUUAGCGUAUCUCAAUUUUCUGCAUGAGUUUUGAGUGGAGAUUUAAAUUUUUAUUUAACGGUGAAAUUUACGAUUAACUAUAUAGGAGUUUAUUAAAAUUAUUGUUUGAAAUGUCUAAUUGCUAAAUAAUUGAGUUGGGAGUUAGGUUAGGAUCAUAGAGUUAGGACUUUCCCAUUAUUAGUUCUGAAUUAAAUAUAAUAAAAUUGACAACACGAGAAAGCUAUAUGAAAAAUGAGAUUCAAAAAUCUUGAAUUAAUUUGAAAUUUGAACGCCACAUGUGUAUUAUACCAGUAUACGAAUCUUAAUUCCCAAAUUCAUAAUUAAAAGAAUUGAAUUUACUAUGAAGAAAAAAAAUGAUAAUUUUAUUACAUUAUUCUAAAAAUUGUGACUGAUUUGAAAUAAUAUAAAAAAAUAUAGUAAUUUUAUUAAAUUAUUCUAAAAGAAUUAUUCUAAAAAUUGUGACUAAUUUUAAAAAUAAUUUGAAGUAAGAUUUAACAAUAAAGUUUAAUAAAUGAACGUAGUUGACUUCCUGCUUCCAAUACGACUCUCUUGUGCGUCAUUAAUCAUUCAAAACUCCGAAAAGACACGCGACAUCAAAAACAACUCCUCCAUCUCGCCUUUUUUUUUUUUUUUUUUUUUUUUUGAAGAAUCUUUCAUUCAAACCGUUGAAAUCAUCACACCUUUAAAACAUGUUCCAUUUUCACCUCUGAUUCCACGAUUCUCUUAUAAAAGUUAUUGUUUGCAAGAUUUCUGUAGCUAUGACUCAAUCUGGGAAGAAGCAUCUGCAGGAAAACAGUAAGUUUUUCGGAUUUUCCUAUUUUUUGGAUCAUGGUUUUAGUCAUGAUUUAUUAUUAUAAUUUUUUUUUUCUUCUGAAAUGGACUUUUUGUUGUUUUUUGGUUUCUUUCUUUGUUAAAUUAUUUGAGAAGUGUAUCCAAAAGUGAAGGUGAGGGUACAGAGAGAAGAUGCUGACCAAUAUGUUUAUGAGAAGAAUUCCUUGCAGUCUUUGAAGGCUUUUGAAUGGCUAUCUCUCAACGAUUCCUCUUCUUCAGGUAAUUUUAUUUUAUUUUUUAAAUCGAUUUCGUUUUUUAUAUCUUGAUAUUUGAUUAACUUUUUGGUUGGAGCAAAUAUAUUUACUUUUUAUGUUACUUUUCUUGAAAUUCUGUCCUGUUUUAAUAGGCUUUUUUUGGGGUACUGUAAUUGGUUGUGUUUGAAUUUUCAGAUUAUUGUAAUUAAUUUGUCAAGUUGGUCCUUUGAUGUUUUGAAUUUGAUUAGUUGUUGAUGAGCAAUCCGUAAAAAUGGCUCUAAAUUCUGAUCAUGUUAUCUUGAUGAGUGACUUAGAGGGUUGUUUGGCUAAGCUUAUUUUAGAGAGCUUACAAUAUGUUUUUCAAGAGCUUAUAAGUUGUUAGAGUGUUUGGAUGAUUGAGCUUAUAAGAGUGUUUGGAUGAUUGAGCUUAUAAGCUAGAGAAAAAAUUAUGAGUUAGAAAGAAAAUUGGAGUUAAAAUUGGAAGGGUAUAAGUUGGAAAUAACAAAUCAUAAUUGGGUUAUUGUUGUUUAUAAAUUUAAGUCAAAAUAAGUUGAGAUUGAGGAACUUAGUUUUCAAAAAUCUUAUAAGUUGUUGGAGCUCAUUUCUACAACUUUUAAGCUGUAUAGGAGCUUAUUUUGCCAAACAUUUCACCAAAACUUAUAAGCUCCUAAACAACUUAUAAGCUCAGCCAAACACCCCCUUAUACGAUGUGGAGAAUGAGAGCCGAUUGACUGUAUAGUCUGUAUUGAUCUUUCCGAGUGGAACUUGAACUCGUGUUUUCUCUAAGAUUACAGAGUUGUUUACUAUGUAGAAUGUAAGAAAGAGUUGCAGCCUUCAUCAAUCUCAGAGCUACUGUUUCGUAGCUAGUAAAGAUCAAUAUAAUGCAGUAAGAUCAAAUAACCAUUUUCUCGUCUUCACUGCUAUGGUUGCUGAGAUAUGAUGCACUUGAAUUCUAUGAAGUUUGCUUGUUAUGUUGUAUGUAAAGAGCCUAUUUUAUUUCAAAGGGUAACAUUGAGUUCAUCAUUGUCUAUUGAGCAUAAAUCUUGUUGCUUGCAUUAUGCUCAUGAAUAAAGUUCAUUGUGAUUAUGCUAAGCUGUAUAAUGCAAUGCUCUGCUCAAGCGUUUGCUACAUAGAAACAUUAAAGAUUAGCUUGCAAUUCUUCAUAGUAAGUGCAUUGGCUAGUCUUGAACGUUUCUCUUUGGAUGUGCAGAUGAUUCCCCAAGGCCCGUUGUGAGGGUUCCCCACUCUUAUGUCCCUCUAUCACCUCCUCCGAGCUUCUACAGAUCCAAAGGUUUGGCAUUUUGCUCGUUGGAUUAUGACAAUAUCGGUACUGAGUUUUAGACGAACACAAAAUGAUAAUAAUCUCUUGCUCAACAGAGGAAACAAACAAAAAGAAUGCAGAUGUGAAAGAGAACCAAAAAAGCGUUAGAGCGACUUCAGCCCCACGCCCACGUGCAGUCUUAUCGAGUCCAGGUUAGUUACAAAGUUCAUCUAUGUACGCAUACAAGAUUUUCUGCUAGCAUGAAUUUCUUGCUGUCUGGUUUCCAAAAUCGUGAUUUUAUAUUUUUGGAUCUAAUAUGUUUGGUGCAUAUGAUUAAAAGGUUGCAAGUAAUUUAUCUUGUAGGUUGUGACUCGUGAAUAUCCAAAUAAGAAUGUUGGUUUUUAUUUUAAUUUUUAUGAAAGAACAAGUAAAUUUAAAGAUCAUGUGACGUUAGAUUCAAACAUGAGAUCUAUGGCUUCAAGCAUUAAUCAUGCUACCAUAGGAAUGUUGAUUUUAGACACGACUUAUAGCUACUGGGGUGAACUAAUCAUCGCACCUAUCCGGUUUUGGUGUAAAUCAUGAAAAUGAGCUGCAUUGUCGUAAGCAACACAGUCGAGUCUUAUGCUUAGCAUAGGGGGUGUUUGGCUGAGUUUAUAAGCUCCUUAAAACAGCUUAGCCAAACACCCACCCCCUACACUUCAUAAAUAUCUAUGUAACUUCAUUUUAGUAAAUCUGAGUGUUGAAAAGAAAGAGUUACAAUGCAUAGUUUCUGUAGUUAUAAGGUCCUCUUUCAAAAUAUGUGAUGCAUUUACAUAAACUAUGCUUCACAUUCAAUUGGAUUUUCUACAUUGAGUUUAGACAGCACUCUACUAAGAACAUCACCACUUGUGUUUAUCUCUGUCUUGCUCAGACAACGAUGGGAUCAUCGGACAAAGAACACCAACACGAGCACAAAUGCAACCUUCUCCCGGCCCUAAAAACCGCGUUGCAAGUCAGAACAGACCCACACUAUGCAAGAUUUUCCCAAAAUCCACUACUGCUGAGGGCACACCUAGAAAAACACAUGCCAAGGAAUCAUCUGAGCUGAAAAACGACGUUCGAGCAAAAGGGAGAGUCACAGCACUGACUGAUUCAAGAACAAGAGCAGCAGGCUAGCAGCUGCACAGAGGAAAAAGACAGCUCCAUCAUGAGUUCUUAUGAACUGAUUUGGAGCUUAUACUUCUGCAGAUUUCUUCCUAGCAAUCAUUGCCCGAGAAUUCGAGUAACAAUUUUGAGUUUGGCAGAGAAAGAUGGGUCAGAUAAGGUAGAACGUUUUUUUGUUUUUUGGGAACAGCAGAAGGCUUUGUUUGUGUACAUAUGAUUUACGAAGUUGCAGUUGGAUUCUUCUGUUGCAAAAAUCUUAUUAUGACGUUAUGGAUACAUGCCACGUUUAUAUUUAUGAUAUAAAGUGGAGGUACAUUAACUUUUUCAAUCUAAACUGUCCUAAUAAUAAAAAUAUUAUUGAAAUCACUAUUCUUAUUCCUGCUACUAAAAAAGAUGUUCAUUUCUUAAAAUAUCCUAUAUAUAUAUAUAUGUAGGAGGAACCAAGGGAAGGGUCAGCCCCCACAUUCAAACCCCUUUUUUUUUAUCAUUAACAAUGACUUGUUCGGCUUGUUUAUCAUAAGGAAUUCGAACAACUGCUUCAAAUACAAUAUCGGGAAUCGAGAAUCUCGUGUGUACGAGGUCGUGUGAAUUGCAUUUGAGGGAUAUAAUAAAGAGUUAUUUGCAGUAAAAUAUAUCAACUUUCGGUGAAUUCUGAUUUUUUUCAUGACUUUUUAAUUUCAUAAUAAAAUACACCACUUCCACGAUUUGUCUGAUUUGUCUCAUGAAUGUCAAAUUCCUCUAAAUCAAUCCUGAUAUAGACGCUUGAGGUGCAAGAAAUUGCCAACGGGCAAUUGAACAGAGCAAAUUAUUCAAAUAUAAGAGAGUUUCUGGCACUCAUUUCUGAUAUUUCAGGCGUUUAUCUCAGCAUUGAUUUGGAAGAAUUUGACACUAAUGGGGAAAAUCAGAUAAAUCGUGAAAAUAGUAUUAUUUCAAAAUUGAAAAAUCAUGGGAGAAACCAAAAUUCAGUAAAAGUUGGUGUAUUUUACGGAAAAUAAGCUUAUAAUAAAAUACACAAGUAUGUUAUUUUUAAAAUAUUAACACAAAAUUUUGUUAUUGGUGUAAUUCGAACUUAGGAUGUUUUGUUUGAAAAGGUUUCUAUUGAAAUCUCUUCAUUUGAGUUUACUAGUUUAGUCUUUCUUGUUUCUGGGCUAGACGUCAAAUUUGUAUAUGGCCCAAAAGGCAACUAGUGGGCCACAUAGCUAAAUGGGCCGAAAUUUUAGGUAGAGAGCCCAAUGGGUCAAAAUUGCAGCUACGGAAGGAGAUUGGAGUACUUGGACCGUGGACAUAUCGCUGGGGUUUUUUAGACAAAAUUUUAAUUAUAUAAAUAAAAAGGGCACAGAUAAAAUUAGUAAUGCGAAAAAAUUUCUAAAUAUUUGACUUUCAAUAAUACAGAGACUCUUUACAGAAAUGAAUAUUUUUUAAACAAAAUACUACUUAUAAUAGAUUGUUUAUCAUCGUAUCUUAAGUGACUUGAUUUGUAGGUAUUAUUGUUCGUUUUUGAGUCAAAUGCUUAUUAUGAUGUUGUAAUUGCAAAAAAUUAAAUGAAAGUACUGUAAUUUACCAUAUUUUAAUACUCCCUCCAUCCCACGAAGUAUGACCCAAUUUUCUUUUUAGUUUGUCCCACGAAGUUUGACCUGUUUCUAAAAAUGACAAAAAAUUUAUCAUUUAUUCACCUUUUUCACUUUUUCACCUACCACACUUAACACACAAAAUACCAAUUUCUUAAUUUCCGUGCUGAAAAGAAAUGAGUCAUACAUACUUCAUGGGACGGAGGGAGUAUUUGAUAAAAAUUGUAUAUACAGACAUGAUGGGUUAUUGUGUGAUCACAAGCUUGAGCAGACUUAUUCAAGGAGAUUUGCAGCUCAAAAUUUGUGUUCACAUUUUAGUGCCAAAUACAAACAAGGGAAAGUGUAGACUAGUCUACCAUGGAGUGCUACAACCAAUUUUGGUCUUAAUAAAAUGCAAGUGUGAAUUUUUCUUCUUAUUCAGUUUCUAUACACAAUUGAAAUAGCUCUCAAUUGACCCUACAAGAAUGCUUCAACUUGUGAUGUCAAAUCAAUUAUAGGUAGUAAAGACUGUGAAGUAAUAUCAAAAUAUGAUUAACUUACAUCAUUCAGGAAAUUUUAUAUGCAUUUUCUUGACAUGUUUCACAUACAUGUCAUAAGGUGAAGCCAAAAACAUAUGAGAUCAUCAUUUUAAUUCAAUAGUACUUACAAGUUAAAGCAAAAAUCAAUAUAUCAUGAUUUGACAUUAACAAACUAAUGCAGCACAUGAAAUAUAAAGCAUAGUGAUUAAAGUGGUAAAAAAUAAAGACACCCUUCUUUUGAAACGGCCUAGUGGUAAAGUGAAUAUAAAUGUGAUUUAAUUCUGUCACAUGCACAUAGUUUUUCAAAUUUGACUUGCAAAUUGCUUAGGAACAUGUAUUUACCAAAUAUUAAGAUUAAGAUUUGUAUAGAAACAUGAAUUUACAGUGUGCUCCGAAAGUAGAGACUGAGGAUUACAUAAAUCCAAAAGGAAAAAACAAGAAGAAAAGUCCACAACGAGGUGCUAACUAUUUUUGUGAAUGAUAUAAUGCCAUGUUCUAAGACACCCCCAAAAUAUCAUCAAUUAUUAAAUGAAUCCAUAAAUGCACCAUGAAUAAUUAUAUGUUGACAUUCAACGAAAUGGGGCUAGCUAAAGCCCAAAGCCAGAGAAAAAUCGAGGCAGAGAACCUUCCAUCCCACACUAUAAAACAGCACCUUCACUCUCCAAUUUUCUCAUCACACUUAGCAAACUCAUUCAUAUCAAAUCUUCAUUUCUCUUCCAUUUCUCCAAAUUCCAAGAGGUAAUCAUGGGUGUGAUCACUUACGAUGUAGAGACCCCUUCCUCCAUCCCGGCCGGGAAGCUCUUCAAGGCCCUGGUGAUCGACUCCGACACCCUCAUCCCCAAGAUCCUGCCUCAGGCCAUCAAGAACGUCGAGAUCUUGGAAGGAGACGGCGGCGCCGGCACCGUCAAGAUCAUUCAUUUUGGCGAAGGGAGUCAGUAUAAGAGCGUCAAGCACCGUGUGGAGGCCAUCGACAAGGAGAACUUCACCUACACCUACACCAUCAAUGAAGGUGAUGUUCUCGCAGAUGUCAUUGAAUCCAUCACUUACCAUAUCAAGGUCGUCCCAACCGAAGAUGGAGGAAGCAUCUGCAAGAACAGGAGCAUUUACAACACCAAGGGUGAUGCUGUGAUUGAUGAGGAGAAGAUCAAGGAGGGGAAAGACAAGGCCCAACAUAUGUUCAAGGCCAAUGAGGCUUACAUCACCGCCAACCCCGACUACUGAAAGAGACGAGGCUUCAUAUAUCAAUGAUGUCAUUUUAUAUAUAUACGUGGUUUCUGAUAUGAGAUAAUUGGUGUGCGAGAGACUAUGUAUAGGCUUAAUUGCCUAGAGUGAUAUCGAUUUACUUUGUGUGAUUUUUGAAUUUGUGUUGAGUGAAUAUUAUUGUAUUGAAUUUGUGUUGCACUAAAUAAAGAAGCAUAGUUUUUUUUUUUUUUUUUUGAAUUAAUAAAGAAGCAUAGUUAAUUGCAAGUUUGGUGGUCGUGGGAUUAAUAUUUUUAUUGUUCUCUUGUGGUUGUUUUGUUUCUUUAUUUAGGGGUAACUAAUAUAUCCAUAUAUUUCAGAUUAGCAUAUGAACAUAAAUUUCACCUCAAAAUACAAGAACUUUCAUUUUUUAUUUUUUAUUUUUUUCUUUCUAACUUUGCACCUGAUAAAUAAUUUAACGUUGAAAACUGAGGAAGAUGUUGGAAUUAAUCUAUGUAUGCAUAGAGUUUUGAUAUAUAUUUUUAAUGAAUGAAUACUGAGGUAGAAGUCAGAAUUAUCUUUACAUGCAACGAAUUUUUUUUAUAAACAACAUAGUUAGACUAGUAAUGAAAUAUUGUCGUUUCAUCAUAAAAUAAGUCCUAUAUUUUUAGAUGAUCAUUUAAAGCAUUUUUUUUUUUGCAAUUUAAGACUAAGAGCAGUGGCGGAUCCAGGGGGGGCUAGGGGGGGCUUCAGCCCCCUCCCAAUUUUUGAGUUUUUUUUUUUAAAUUAUAGAUAUAUAUUUAUUAUUUUGUUUUAUAUCUAUAUAUAUGUGUAUAUAAAUAAAAAAAUACAAGAAAAAAUAUAGUAAUACAUUAUUUAUAGUAUCCAACUAUCCAUAUUAAUUGCUCAACACAUUGAGUUGUUACAUUUAUAGUAUUAUUUUUAUCAUUUUUUCUUUCUUAGUUAAUUUUUAAUGUUAAAUUUGAGUCAAUUCUAAAGGUAAAAGUAAAAUUACUAAUUACUAACAAUGAAAAUUAGUUUAUUUGUUUAGAAGAUGAAACAAUUUUUUUUUAAGAAAAAUGAAUAAAAGUACGUUUUUAUAUGCUUUCAAUCUACUUGAUGUUGAAUUAAUUGAAUUGCGAACAAUUAUCUUAUUAUAUUAAGUGAUUGUUGAAAAAAUGUAUGAAAUGAAGUGUACGGAAUGCUCAAAAAAAUUUGCUUCGGGGGCUCCCGCCCCCGAACCCCCGUGUAAAUAUUUUCAAGCACCGUAGUCCAAUAGAUUCAGCCCCCCCUAACAUUGAAUCCUGGAUCCGCCCCUGACUAAGAGGGUUGUGAGUUCACGAUCAAGGCCGUACUUCAUUAUUCGUGAUUCAUGAUUUUGAAUUCGUUGUUCGGGUCCAAUAUUUAGGUUCACAUAAUUAGGUCUUCGAGUUGUGUGUUUGUAAUUGAAUCCGUUGAAAAUAUUUUUAAUUUGUGUGCAAGAUUAGGGGGAAAAAAAUGAAAUUUUAUAUAUUUGGAAAUAUGAUUUAUAGCUCAUGUGCAAAAUAAAAAAAUAUAUAAAUUUUUUUAAGAUGCUAUUACCACUUUUAUUUAUUUUCGAGUUGAGUUCAAAAUCAUAAUUAAGGAAGACUGAUAAAAUCUAGAGGUCAAUCGUUUAGGUUGCUCACUGACAAUGAAAUGUGCAAAAUUAAUAUAAAAAUAGGCCAGUGAACCAUGUGGAUUGAAUCGGAGUCUUUUUUAGGUUCAUUUAUAUAGUUGGACAUAAAAGGGGAUAGAGGUUUAAUUCACUCAGUAUAAAAGUUGACGGUGAAUUUUAGACCAAUUAAUGAGAAACAAAUUUUUUAGAAAAUCAAGAAUUUAUGAAUAACUUUUAAUAAAAUAUCAUAUAUAUUUAUUUUCUUUAUCCAGUACUUGAUUUUUAUCCUGUGAUUAUUUAUUAGAUUGCUGAUCCAGUGACUUGAUUUUUAUUGUAUUGGAAAUUGAAUUAUAUAUUCUAGGGUAAAUUUAAUCUAAAACUAUAAUAAAUUUUUGUAAUAUUUUAUUUUUUUUCCAUAAUCUUUUAUUCUUGUUUCAUAAUCUAUUUGAAAUCUCUUGAUUUGAGUUUAGUCUGUAUCUCUGGGCCAAAACGUCAAAUUUGUAUAUGGCCCAAAGGCUUUUAAUGGGCUACAUAGUCAAAUGGGCCGAAUUUUUAGGUCGAGAGUCCAUUGGGUCAAAAUUGCAACUACAGAACGGAAUAUUCUAUUUAAGGAGAUUGGAGUACUUGGACGACGCUGGGGUCAAAAAUUAUUAAUGCGAAUUUUUUUCUAAAUAUUAGACUUUUAAUAAUACAGAGACGACUCUUUACAGAAAUGAAUAUUUUUUAAACAAAAUACUACUUAUAAUAUAUAGUUUAUCCUCGUAUCUUAAGUGACUUUAUUUGUAGGUAUUAUUGUUCGUUUUUUAGUUAAAUGCUUAUUAUGAUGUUUGUAAUUGCAAAAAAUUAAAAGGCAUUCGUAUGAAAAUUGUAUAUUCAGAAAAGAUGGGUUAUUAUUGUGUGAUCACAAUUCACAAGCUUGAGCAGACUUAUUCAAGGAGAUUUGCUGCUCAAAUUUGUGUUCACAUUUAUUGCCAAAUACAAUCAAGAGAAAGUGUAGACUAGUCUACCAUGGAGUGCUACGUACAACCAAUUUUGGUCUUAAAAUAAAUGCAAGUGUGAAUUUUUCUUCUUAUUCUGUUUCUAUAUAUAUAAUUGAAAUAGCUCUCAAUUGACCCUACAAGAAUGCUUCAACUUGUGAUGUCAAAGCAAUUAUAGUAAAGACUGUGAAGUAAUAUAAAAAUACGAUUAACUUACAUCAUUCGGGAAAUUUUCUAUGCAUUUUCUUGACAUGUUUCACAUGCAUGCCACAAGGUGAAGCAAAAAACAUAUGACUUCUUAUUCAUUUUAAUUUAAUACUAAGUUAAAGUUAACUUAAAUCAAUAUCAUGAUUUGGCAUUGACGAACUCAUGCAGCUUAUAAAAUAUCAAGCAUAAUGAUUAGAUAAAAAUCGUCAUACUCGAGUGGUAAAAAAGAAAGAUACAGAUCCUUUUGGGACGGCUAAUGGUAAAGUGAAUAUAAACGUGGUUUAAGUCUGUUAUAUAGACCUAUUUUUUUAAAAUGAGAUUUGCAGAUUUCACAGAAACAUAGAUUUAUCAAAUAAUACGACUUGUCACACAUAGUUUUUGAUGUAUGAUUUGUCUGUAUCGAAUCUUAAUAUCAUAAUGAAUAGUUUUUUUUUUCACAUUUUUUCACUAUUUUCAAUACUAAUUACAAUACAUUUUCACCACUUUCAAUACUAAUUACUCCCUCCGUCCCGGUCAAAGUGGUGCACUUCUUUUGGGCACGGGAUUUAAAGAGAAUAAGAUUGUAGUGUAAAAGUGUGUAAAUGUGUGUGGGGCCAUAUUUUUUGUAGUGUAAAAUUAUUACCAAAAAAGGAAAUGCACCACUUUCGGUGGGACAGCCCAAAAAAGAAUACGCACUACUUUCGGUGGGAUGGAGGAAGUAUAAUAUUUUUCACUAUUUACAAUAUACUCAACAAUUUUGUAUUAAAAUUCGUACCCCUUAGGAAGUUAUUUGGGGGUCGGUAGAGGAUAAUGCCAUGUUCUAUGACACCCCAAAAUAUCAUCGAUUAUUAAAUCAAUCCAUAAAUGCACCAUGAAUAAUUAUGUCUACAUUCAACGAGAUGGGGCUAGCUAAAGCCCAAAGCCAGAGAAAAAUCGAGGCAGAGAACCUUCCAUCCCACACUAUAAAAUAGCACCUUCACACUCUCCAAUUUUCCCAUCACACUUAGCUAAUCUCAUUCAUAUCAAAUCUUCACUUCUCUUCCAUUUCUUCAAAUUAAAAAAAAAAGGGAAUCAUGGGUGCGAUCACUUAUGAUGUAGAGACCCCUUCCUCCAUCCCGGCCGGGAAGCUCUUCAAGGCCCUGGUGAUCGACUCCGACACCCUCCUCCCCAAGAUCCUGCCUCAGGCCAUCAAGAACGUCGAGAUCUUGGAAGGAGACGGCGGCGCCGGCACCGUCAAGAUCAUUCAUUUUGGCGAAGGGAGUCAGUAUAAGAGCGUCAAGCAUCGUGUCGAGGCCAUCGACAAGGACAACUUCACCUACACGUACAGCAUCCUUGAAGGUGAUGUUCUCUCAGAUGCCAUUGAAUCCAUCACUUACCAUAUCAAGGUCGUCCCAACCGAAGAUGGAGGAAGCAUCUGCAAGAACAGGAGCAUUUACAACACCAAGGGUGAUGCUGUGAUUGAUGAGGAGAAGAUCAAGGAGGGGAAAGACAAGGCCCAACAUAUGUUCAAGGCCAUUGAAGCUUACAUCACCGCCAACCCCGACUACUGAACGAGACGAGGCUUCGUAUAUCAAUGAUGUCAUUCUAUAUACGUGGUAUCUCUGAUGCGAGAGGAUCGGUGUGCGAGAGACUAUCUAUAGGCUUAAUUGCCUAGAGUGAUAUUGAUUUACUUUGUGUGGUUUUUGUAUUUGUGUUGAGUGAAUAUUACUGUAUUGAAUUUGUGUUGCACUAAAUAAAGAAGCAUAAUUAAUGUUGCAAGUUUGGUGGUAGUGGGAACAUUUUUAUUUUUCUCGUGGUUGUCUUGUUAUUUUAUUUAAGUGUAAUUAAUAACCGUAUAUUUCGGAUUACGCAUAUGAGUAUAAAUUAAAUUUCGUCUCAAAAUACAAUAACUUUUUUUUUUCUCUAGCUUUGCACCUGAUCAUAAAUAUUUUUGACGAAUAAAUAUUGAUAUAGAAGCCAAAGUUAUCUUUAUGUGCAACGAAAAUCUUCAUAAGCAAUAUAAUUUGAUUAGUAAUAAAAUAUUGUCGUUUCAUCAUAAAAUAAGUCUCAUAUUUUUAGAUGAUCAUUUAAGGCAUUAUUUUUCACAAUUUAAAAUUAAAGGGCUGCGAGUUCACGAUUGAUUCAUGAUUUUGGUUCAUAUAUUUAGGGCUUCGAGUCGUGGAUUCGUGAUUGAGUUGUGAAUGUUUGAAAAUAUCUUUAAUAUGCUUUGGAAAAAAAAAUUAUAUAUUUGGAGACAUGACUUAUGGCUCAUGUGCGAAAUAGAUAAAUGUUAUAAAAUUUUGUAUUUUAGAUACUAUAACCACUUUUAUUUAUUUUCGAGUUUGAGUUCAAAAUAUUACUCCCUCCGUCCCAAUAAAAGUGGCCACAUUUCCUUUUUGGGUGUCCCAUUAAAAGUGGCUACUUUCUAAAAAUGGCAAAAGUUUACUUUAAUUAAGUCAACAAUUACUCACUAAUUUGGUCAACAAUUGUAGGCCAUUUUCUAAAAAUGUCAAAAUUACUUACUAAUUUGGUCAACAAUUGUAGGCCACUUUCUAAAAAUUACUCACUAAUUUUGGUGGGUCACACUCAAUUAAAACAUAACAAUUCCCUUCUUAAUCUCCGUACCUAAAAAAAAGUGGUCAUUUUUAUUGGGACGGAGGGAGUAAUAAUUAAGGAAGACUAAUGAAUCUAGAGGUCAAUAUAUCGUUUAGGUUGCUCACUGACAAUGAAAUGAGUAAAAUUAAUAUAAAAAUAGGCACCAUGUGGAUUAAAUCGGAGUCUUUUUCAGGUUUAUUUAUUUNUUAGGUUAUUUAGUUUAGUUGGACAUAAAAGGGGUUGGGAGGUUUAAUUCACUCAUUAUAAAAAUUGACGGUGAAUUUUGGACCAAUUAAAGAGAAACAAUCUUUAGUUAUAUCAACUCUUAUUAUAUUUACGGAGACUAUUUAUAGAAAAUUCAAGAAUUUAUGAAUAACUUUUAAUAAAUUAAAUAUCCUUUAUACAUUUAUUUUCUUUAUCCAGUGACUAUUUAUUGGAUUGCUUAUCCAGUGACUUGAUUUUUAUUGUAUUGGAUAUUGAAUUAUUAUAGGGGUAAUUUUGACAUCUCGCCGGGGAUUUUUUAGACAAAACUUUAAAAUAAAAAAGUGCAAAUAAAAGUUACUAAUGCGAAAAAUAUUCUAAAUAUUAGACUUUUAAUAAUAUAGAGACUCUUUAACUCUUUACAGAAAUUAAUAUUUUUUAAACAAAAGAUACUAAUAAUAGAUUGUUUAUCCCCGUAUCUUAUAAAGUGACUAGAUUUGUACGUAGGUAUUAUUGUUCGUUUUUGAGUCAAAUGCUUAUUAUGCUGGUUUUAAAAGGCAGUACUGUAAUUACCAUGCAUAUUUUAAUAUUCGUAAGAAAAUUGUUAAGAAAGAUGGGUUAUUGUGUGAUCACAAGCUUGAGCAGACUUAUUCAAGGAUAUUUGCUGCUCAAAAUUUGUGUUCGCAUUGUCUUGCCAAAUACAUACAAGAGAAAGUGUAGACUAGUCUACCAUGGAGUGCUACAACCAAUAUUUGGUCUCAAAAUAAAUGCAAGUGUGAAUUUUUCUUCUUAUUCAGUUUCGAUAAUUGAAAUACCUCUCAAUUGACCCUACAAGAAUGCUUCAACUUGUGAUGUCAAAUCAAUUAUAGGUAAUAAAGACCGUGAAGUAAUAUCAAUAUAUGAUUAACUUACAUAGUUACAUAAAUCUAACAGAAAAAAAAACAAGAAGAAAAGUCCACAACGAGGCACUAACUAAUUUUGUAAAUGAUACUCUCUUCGUCCUCUAAAUAACUUCAUAUCUGUCCCCAAGGGGACACCAAGCGGUGCGAAUAGUGAAUAAAAAAUAAAAUAAAAAAUAAUUAUGUGAAUAGUGAGGUCUCGGGUUCAAACUCCACUGCCCCCCUCCCCAACACCCCCAUGUAAAAAAAUAAAAAAUAAUAAUAACUUCAUAUCUUUUUUUUAGGUUGUCUCCCAAAUAAUUUACUAGUACUUUAUUUUAGGACACUAUCCCAACUUUUCAUAAUACUUCAUUUAUUCUUUUUUUUUUCACCACUCUCAAUACUAAUUACAACACCUUUUCAUCUUUUAUUAUUAUUAUUAUUAUUAUUAUUAUUAUUAUUAUUAUUAUUAUUAUUAUUAUUAUUAUUAUUAUUAUUAUUAUGCACUCAAUAAUUUUAUCUUAAAAUCAAUGGGCCCCCUCAAAAGAUUAUUUGGAGGAUGGAGGGAGCAUAAUGCCAUGUUAUAUGACACCACAAAUAUCAUCAAUUAUUAAAUUCAAACCAUAAUUAAUGCAUCACGAAUAAUUGAGUUGCCAUUCAACGAAAUGGGGCUAAAGCCCAAAGCCAAAGAAAAGUCGAGGUAGAGAACCUUCCAUCCCACACUAUAAAAUAGCACCUCACACUCUCCAAUUUUCCCAUCACACUUAGCUAAUCUCAUUCAUAUAUAUCAAUCACUAAUCAAUCUUCACUUCUCCUCCAUUACUCCAAUUUUUUAAAAAAGAGAAUCAUGGGUGCGAUCACUUAUGAUGUAGAGACCCCUUCCUCCAUCCCGGCCGGGAAGCUCUUCAAGGCCAUCGUGCUCGAGCCGACACCCUCAUCCCCAAGAUCUUGCCUCAGGCCAUCAAGAACGUCGAGAUCUUGGAAGGAGACGGCGGCGCGGCACCGUAAGAUCGUUCAUUUUGGCGAAGGGAGUCAGUAUAAGAGCGUCAAGCACCGUGUCGAGGCCAUCGACAAGGAAACUUGACAUACACGUACACCAUCAUUGAAGGUGAUGCUCUCUCAGAUUUAUUGAAUCCGUCACUUAUCAUAUCAAGAUCGUCCCAACAGAAGAUGGAGGAAGCAUCUGCAAGAACAGGAGCAUUUACAACACCAAGGGCGAUGCUGUGAUUGAUGAGGAGAAGAUCAAGGAGGGGAAAGACAAGGCCCAACAUAUGUUCAAGGCUAUCGAGGCUUACCUCAUCGCCAACCCCGACUGCUGAAAGAGACGAGGCUUCUAUAUCGAUGAUGUCAUUUUUAUAUACGUGGUAUAUAUAUACCUGUGAUGCUAGAGAAUUGGUGUGCGAGAUAUUAUAAAUAGGCUGAAUUGCCUAGCUAGAGCGAUAUCAAUAUUGAUUUACUUUGUGUGGUUUUUGAAUUUGUGUUGAGUGAAUAUUAUUGUGAUGAUUUGUGUUGCACUAAAUAAAGAAGCAUAAUUAAUAUUGCAUGUUUGGUGG
This 31242-nucleotide long non-coding RNA is filed under the name Salvia miltiorrhiza (redroot sage). RNAcentral describes it as "long non-coding RNA (SMIL_LNC009269)". The record is from RNAcentral. Lineage: Eukaryota; Viridiplantae; Streptophyta; Magnoliopsida; Lamiales; Lamiaceae.